Molecule: ribosomal RNA, 3972 nt
Filed under: Triticum aestivum (bread wheat)
Lineage: Eukaryota; Viridiplantae; Streptophyta; Magnoliopsida; Poales; Poaceae
Description: partial small subunit ribosomal RNA
Source: RNAcentral
AUGACAGAUCUUACAAGUGCCCCCUCUUUGUGCGCAAGGGUUUUGAAGGCUAGAUAUUUCAAGGAAGAUACAAUCAAGAAUCUAACUUGCCCGAAUCGGGACGUGCAUACUUUCAGGAGCAUAGUUUAUGGCCGUGAUUUGUUAAGGGAAGAGGCUCUAUCGAGAGGUUCCAAUAUCAACAUUCAUCAUGAUAAUUGGAUCCCAAAGAGUGGGAGUAUAAAACCUUUGGGCCAGGAGUAUGUGCAAGGUAUCACUAAGGUUCCUGCGCCGGCACCGGUUAAGCGUUGGAAGACAUCGAAGAUGGCAUGGGUUAAGGCCGACGCAGACGUCGUUGUCUCAAAGAACGGGGAGAAAACUGGCGGUGGUGUGGUUCUAUAUUCCAGAGUGCUCCUCCCAUCAUGCGCUACAUUCCCAACUGUUGCUCCCCCGGAAAUAAAUUUCAAACCAGCCUUUGCAGGUAUUCAGUAUAGUUUCAGGCCAGGUGACUCCUUCAGACGUCUCAUAGUAGGUUAUGAAAUUCCAACAAAAGAUCUCCCUGCAGAUGCUGGAUCUGACCCUCCUUCCAAAAAAAAUCGGGAUUUUACCCUUUCGCCUACCACCAGGAACCGUGGCGGUAGGAUUGUACAACCUACCGUCAGCGGCCCCGGCGCUCCUCUCCUCCCUCUCUCUCCCCCUCACAAACCCCCACUAGAUCCCCUCCAUUUGCUUGAGAUUUCACCGGUGGAUCCAGAUCAUUUUCAUCACCCAAGGGUUAGUGUUAGGGUUAGGGUUAGGGUUUGGGUUAUGUUGGGGGUUAGGGUUGUAGUUGAGACAUUUAUGCUUGGAAAUGACGAUGAAGGGGAAGAGGCUAUGGUUUCUGACACAAGUCCAAGCUUUGAUGAUUUUGUAGUUAAAGUGAGAAGCGUGUUAUAUUGGAAUGACCCAAAUGCCGAGGUUAAGCUUAUUGGGAGGAAAAAAGUAGACGCAUCACAAGACAAGUCUCUUGAGAUCUUUGCCACAAAGGUUGAUCCUCCGCCUCCCUUGCAAAUUGAUCUCAACCACAAUGCAUCCUCCCCAAUACAUGAUUAUAGUGCCGAGGUGUAUAUCCCCAAUUGUUCGAGACAACCACCAAGUAGCCAACCCAAUGAAGAUCAUAUCAAUGCUAGCGCCAUAGUACUCUGUCAUGAUGCUAUUCCUCAUGUUGAAGAAGAUGCUAGUGGUCAUGUUGAUGAUGAUGCUAUUGUUGCUCAAGAGGAUGCUUACGCGGAGAAUGAAGAGAUCCAUUACAAUCCAAUUGGUAAUUUGGAUGUCAUUGUGAGGCAACAAGAUAUGGACCGUACCCUCCCUUACAACCGUAUGUGUGGGUAUAACUCGGAUAACGAGGGUCCGAAGGAAGAAUUGGAUGAGGAUGGGUUGACUGCGCAAGAAAAUGAAAUCUACAAGAAGGUGACCGGCAAGGAGAGAGGGCCGCCGUUGUUUCGGGAUGUGAGUCUUGCGGACAAUGCCGUUGUUGAUGGUGGGCUGAGAUUCGGGUUUUCGGAGCCAACACCGUGCCCCAAAUUCAGUGAUCCUCAGCCACAAAAUGAGGAUGAGAAUGCACAUUUGAAGAGAGGCAUCAAGUUUGGUUCUUUGGUAGAGUUCAAGAUAUGGUUGUGUGACUAUGCCAUUAGGAACCAUAGGACGUUUGUUGUUGCUCAUUCCAAUCAAAAAGUUUGGUACACAGUCAAAUGUGACCAAGAAGGUUGCAAAUGGAAGGUCUGUGGUAGAAAAAUCAAAGAAACCGGGCAAUGGGUGUUGAAGAGUCAUGUUGGCAGUCACACGUGCGUACCCCCGGACAAGGCAGACCAAAGCAAAGGACACCGUCAACUCACGUCUGAGUAUCUAGGAUACAAAUUGUUGCAUCAAAUAGCACAUGAUCCAACCGUGAAGCUCAAGUUUCUCAUUUCUUCGAUUGAGGAACAAUUCGGAUACACGGUCAAGUAUGGGAAGGCAUGGAUGGCGAAGGAAACGCUAUUAGGAUGUUGCAUGGUGAUUAUGAGGCCGCAUAUAACAUUUUGCCCAAGAUGUUGGCAGCCAUUGCUCAUCGAAACCCGGGAAUGCGCCAUCGGGUGGAGUCAAUUGACGGUGUGUUUCGUCGUGCCUUCUGGAGCUUUGGACAAUGCAUUGAGGCAUUCAAAAGUUGAUAUUCUUGGUCUUCCAAAGCUUCACCACCGUUGGUGCAUGAGACACUUUGUUGCAAACUUUUAUCAGACAUGCAAGAGCAAGGAGUUUUGCAAAGACCUUACCCUAGUUUGUGUUGCAUUCAACACCGACACAUACAAAAGCCGAUAUGAUAAACUCCUCAAGACUUUAGAGAAGAACAAAGGGGGGAAAGAAUUUUUGCUUAGGCACGAGCCGGAUAAAGAAAAGUGGUCACGCGCUUACGAUGAAGGAGGUAUGCGGUAUGGGGACAUGACAAGCAACAUGGUGGAAUGCUUCAACAAUGUGUUGGAGGGUGUCCGUUCCUUGUCGGUGACCGCAAUACUCAAGUACACUUUCAUCAAGCUCAAUGAGUACUUCCUAAAGCAUUCAGAAAGCACGGCCAAGUGGAUCGGGGAGAAGAUGGACUAUCCAUUCAAGGUUCACGAUUGGCUGUCGCAUCAAGCGCGGAAGUCCUCCAAACAACAAGUGGUCAAAUAUAAUGAAAAAGAAAUAAUCUAUCAAAUCGAUGAGCCGGGUGGGACAACAAGGGACGGUAGGUCUUAUGGUGGAGUUGCUUACGAGCUGCACAUCAAAAACCGUUGGUGCCAGUGUGAGAGGCCACACAAGUAUCAUUGGCCUUGCUCGCAUUUGAUGACCGCAACACGGGCGAGAAACUUGCCCGUAUCCGAUGGCACAACGGUGCGGUUGCAUGAGUUCACAUUGGAACAAACAAGGUUGACGUGGGUGCCUCGGUUCAAUCCUUUCCUUGAUGCCUCACAGUGGCCUGAUUAUGUUGGGCCAGACAUUGUGCCAGAUCCCGCACUCAUGGUGCCUAUGAGGGGAAGAAGAAGAAAGAAGAGAUUCCGAAGUGAUAUGGAUGAUCUAGCUGGAUACACCGGAAUGAAGCAAUUUGGUAGUGGUCAUUUCAUGGAGCCACCGAAGAACAACAAUUGUGGAGAAUGCAAUGACACAGGACACAAUGUUAGGACAUGCAAGAAACCUAUAACCAACACAAGCACUAGUCAAACACGUGGACGGAGGACUAGCCUUGGAGAUGGCCGUGGCCGUGGAGGAAGGGCUAGCCUUGGAGGUGGCCGUGGUCGUGGAGGAAGUACUAGCCUUGGAGGUGGUCGUGGCCGUGGAGGACGGACUAGCCUUGGAGUGGGUCGUGGCCAUGGAUCCGGUGGUUCUAGGACACGUCGGGUUGAUAGGGGAAGGCCUAUCGACGUGUUGCUCAAUCCAGAUGGCAUGGCUUCAUCCGAUUCCAUGACGAGGCCACCGCGUGCUAACAAAGAAGAAAUGCCGCACAAGUGGGAGAACGCAUCUUUGGACAAGGUGAAGGAGAAAGAUGUGAAGAUUCCGCCAUGUUGGUGUGGAGAUGUUUGCAAGGUGAAGGUGUCCACCGACCAAAAGAAGUCAUGGACGGAAGGAAGGAGAUAUUUUGUAUGCCCCAACUAUGCUUAUGAUCGUGCGCUUCCAACUCAUGCCUAUGACCAACCACCGUCACUGCCUCCUCUAUGCAAGUACUUCACGUGGAUAGAUCAUGAAGUGCCAGAAGAUGUCCAGAAGGACCAAUAUCAAGAUUGUCUUAGGCGCCAGCGCCUGUUCGAAGAAAGGUUUCAAAGAGGCUUGGAGGAAGAGCGUCGUCAGAAGGAGAGGAUGGAGCGCAAGCAACGAGAGGAGGAGAGGGCACGCCAAGCAAAGCUUGCUCGUGAGGAGGAGAGGGCAAGAAAGCUUGCAAAGGCUCGCAAGGCACAAGAGGAGGAUGAGGCACGUGACAAGAAGGGGAAAUGGCCCCGUAUGACUAAGUAA